RNAcentral lists this ribosomal RNA (240 nucleotides) under uncultured bacterium. RNAcentral describes it as "partial 16S ribosomal RNA". It matches the Rfam family "Bacterial small subunit ribosomal RNA", at positions 15 to 248 of the family's 1533-position model. The record is from RNAcentral.
GAUCAUGGCUCAGGAUGAACGCUGGCGGCGUGCUUAACACAUGCAAGUCGAACGGAGUUUACAUGAAACCUAGUGAUUGUAAACUUAGUGGCGGACGGGUGAGUAACGCGUGGGUAACCUGCCUUGUACUGGGGGACAACAGUUGGAAACGACUGCUAAUACCGCAUAAGCGCACAGCUUCGCAUGAAGCAGUGUGAAAAACUCCGGUGGUACAAGAUGGACCCGCGUCUGAUUAGCUGG